This 277-nucleotide long non-coding RNA is filed under the name Panax ginseng (ginseng). Its description in RNAcentral is "long non-coding RNA (PGIN_LNC002621)". The record is from RNAcentral. Lineage: Eukaryota; Viridiplantae; Streptophyta; Magnoliopsida; Apiales; Araliaceae.
CCAAAGCUAAUGUUCAUACAAUUAAUUGUUAUUGUAAUUUUAAUGAUGUAUGUAUGGUAAUUGGAGAUUAUUUUACACUUGUGUAGCUUACAAACAAGGCAAGUUCUCUAACUCUACUUUCAUAAUUGUGCAAGCUUCUAAACCUAAACUUUCAUUGAGCAAGACUAUUGAUUCUAUUUUUAUGUACAUUAAACAAGCUCAUGUAACCUAAUUCGUUACAUCAAAUGAGUUUUACAUUCUCAUUUAUUGUUAUUGUUAUUCAAAACAUAUAUUGUUC